GACAAACUAGAGAGAACUGCAAGGACUCAGUACAUCCCUGGCACAGUCCAUUCUCUCUCACAGCAUAUUGUAUGAGACUGUGUGAGUGCUGCUUCCACGCUACACUAAAAACCCAUGGUCCCUGCAUUAUUUGAGCAACUGACAAGCUUCUGAAGUUCAGGUUCGCGAACGCUGAGAGCAGCACCCAGUGGAUUUGUGGCAGAUUUUUGAUGAACCAAGCUGGCUGGUGUCGCCUCAGUUUGUCUAAAUUACCAAGGACCGCUGGAAUUUCCCUGGGAAUAUGUUUCGGGAAAGGUCAGAAACUCUUCAGUCGUCUUCACGCUUCCACUCAGUAGCAACGUUUUUGCACACUCAUUGACUAUCAACUGGUUGUCUAUGACUCAAAUUACAUAAUGAAUCCAGCACAUAAAUUAUUUACUCAGAUUUAAUGCCAGCAACUGUUAUCUUUGUAUUUUUUUCCCCUCUGCCAGCUAAUCUGGCUCAUUUCAUUGGAAUUUUGGUCAUGCCCAUUCUCCUUCUGCACUAAAUUAACUCCAUAACGUAGUAUAAACAGAACAAGCUUGUGUGUGAUAUGCUUAACUGUUAAUUUACCUAAUUAAACUAAUUCAAUUAAAUCAUUUACAUCUUUUUGGUAACAUGCCAGUUGAUACCACAGCAGAAGUGGGAUGUUUCAGAAGAUGAUUGUUCAGCAAAUGAAUGGAAAAAAAAAUAAAAGGAAAACAAAAUGAGACAACCGUCCAAAUCUCUUGGCUUGAA
Long non-coding RNA from Homo sapiens (human), 756 nucleotides. Ensembl annotates it as lncRNA oncogene in head and neck cancer 2. Its record names the gene LOHAN2. NCBI's taxonomy places the organism in Eukaryota, Metazoa, Chordata, Mammalia, Primates, Hominidae. The record is from Ensembl.